CUCUGGUAGUUAAACUGCACAGAGAGAUGUGGAUCUUGACCUGGGGGUUGUGGGGAGCCAGGGAAGGAGGCAGCAUGGAAACAGGAGAA
This is a small nucleolar RNA of Vicugna pacos (alpaca), 89 nucleotides long. RefSeq annotates it as Z6 small nucleolar RNA. The record is from RefSeq and is a predicted model, not a curated record. NCBI's taxonomy places the organism in Eukaryota, Metazoa, Chordata, Mammalia, Artiodactyla, Camelidae.